RNAcentral lists this ribosomal RNA (482 nucleotides) under uncultured bacterium. RNAcentral's name for it is "partial 16S ribosomal RNA". It matches the Rfam family "Bacterial small subunit ribosomal RNA", at positions 30 to 507 of the family's 1533-position model. The record is from RNAcentral.
AUUGAACGCUGGCGGCAUGCUUUACACAUGCAAGUCGAACGGUAACAGGCCGCAAGGUGCUGACGAGUGGCGAACGGGUGAGUAAUGCAUCGGAACGUGCCCAGUCGUGGGGGAUAACUACUCGAAAGAGUAGCUAAUACCGCAUACGAUCUAUGGAUGAAAGCGGGGGACCGGAAGGCCUCGCGCGAUUGGAGCGGCCGAUGUCAGAUUAGGUAGUUGGUGGGGUAAAGGCUCACCAAGCCAACGAUCUGGAGCUGGUCUGAGAGGACGACCAGCCACACUGGGACUGAGACACGGCCCAGACUCCUACGGGAGGCAGCAGUGGGGAAUUUUGGACAAUGGGCGCAAGCCUGAUCCAGCAAUGCCGCGUGCAGGAAGAAGGCCUUCGGGUUGUAAACUGCUUUUGUACGGAACGAAACGGCUCUGGUUAAUACCCGGGGUUAAUGACGGUACCGUAAGAAUAAGCACCGGCUAACUACGUG